GGGGGGGGGGGUGGUCUUUUCCUCUGCCGUCGCACAACAAGUAGGGGAGAUAAUAAGGGGACCGUUCUCCUGUGCCGUGAUGCUUUUGAAGAAUCAGUCAAGAUGACAAAUGUUGCAGCAUGAAAAUAGUUUCAGAUGUCUACUUGCUAUUAUCUUGCCUUUGAUGCAUUCAGUAACUGUUUAAUACUUUUAUAUUAAUUCCAUAUGAAGUCUUGCUAGUUUUGAAGUGCCUAUAUUGUUGAAUGUUAUUAUGAAUGUGAUUUUAAAUCUA
This is a long non-coding RNA of Helianthus annuus (common sunflower), 271 nucleotides long. RefSeq lists it as uncharacterized. The transcript has 2 exons. The record is from RefSeq and is a predicted model, not a curated record. Lineage: Eukaryota; Viridiplantae; Streptophyta; Magnoliopsida; Asterales; Asteraceae.